GGAGUUAGCCGGUGCUUCUUCUGUGAGUGAUGUCCUUCCUUCCGGCUAUUAACCCGCAGGCCUUCUUCCUCACUGAAAGUGCUUUACAACCCGAAGGCCUUCUUCACACACGCGGCAUGGCUGGAUCAGGGUUGCCCCCAUUGUCCAAUAUUCCCCACUGCUGCCUCCCGUAGGAGUCUGGGCCGUGUCUCAGUCCCAGUGUGGCUGAUCAUCCUCUCAGACCAGCUACGGAUCGUCGCCUUGGUGAGCCGUUACCUCACCAACCAGCUAAUCCGACAUAGGCUCAUCCGAUAGCGCGAGGCCCGAAGGUCCCCCGCUUUCCCCCGUAGGGCGUAUGCGGUAUUAGCCUGGGUUUCCCCAGGUUAUCCCCCACUACCGGGCAGAUUCCUAUGCAUUACUCACCCGUCCGCCGCUCGCCACCAGGGAGCAAGCUCCCCGUGCUGCCGCUCGACUUGCAUGUGUUAGGCCUGCCGCCAGCGUUCAAUCUGAGCCAUAAUCAAACUCUGA
Molecule: ribosomal RNA, 507 nt
Filed under: uncultured bacterium
Lineage: Bacteria
Description: partial 16S ribosomal RNA
Source: RNAcentral